GACGAACGCUGGCGGCGUGCUUAACACAUGCAAGUCGAACGGAAAGGCCCUGCUUUUGUGGGGUGCUCGAGUGGCGAACGGGUGAGUAACACGUGAGUAACCUGCCCUUGACUUUGGGAUAACUUCAGGAAACUGGGGCUUAUACCGGAUAGGGGCUCCUGCUGCAUGGUGGGGGUUGGAAAGUUUCGGCGGUUGGGGAUGGACUCGCGGCUUAUCAGCUUGUUGGUGGGGUAGUGGCUUACCAAGGCUUUGACGGGUAGCCGGCCUGAGAGGGUGACCGGCCACAUUGGGACUGAGAUACGGCCCAGACUCCUACGGGAGGCAGCAGUGGGGAAUAUUGCACAAUGGGCGGAAGCCUGAUGCAGCAACGCCGCGUGCGGGAUGACGGCCUUCGGGUUGUAAACCGCUUUCGCCUGUGACGAAGCGUGAGUGACGGUAAUGGGUAAAGAAGCACCGGCUAACUACGUG
RNAcentral lists this ribosomal RNA (468 nucleotides) under uncultured bacterium. RNAcentral describes it as "partial 16S ribosomal RNA". It matches the Rfam family "Bacterial small subunit ribosomal RNA", at positions 28 to 507 of the family's 1533-position model. The record is from RNAcentral.